This 492-nucleotide ribosomal RNA is filed under the name uncultured bacterium. Its description in RNAcentral is "partial 16S ribosomal RNA". It matches the Rfam family "Bacterial small subunit ribosomal RNA", at positions 29 to 507 of the family's 1533-position model. The record is from RNAcentral.
AGUGAACGCUGGCGGUAGACCUAACACAUGCAAGUCGAACGGCAGCACAGUAAGAGCUUGCUCUUACGGGUGGCGAGUGGCGGACGGGUGAGGAAUACAUCGGAAUCUACUUUUUCGUGGGGGAUAACGUAGGGAAACUUACGCUAAUACCGCAUACGACCUACGGGUGAAAGCAGGGGAUCUUCGGACCUUGCGCGAUUGAAUGAGCCGAUGUCGGAUUAGCUAGUUGGCGGGGUAAAGGCCCACCAAGGCGACGAUCCGUAGCUGGUCUGAGAGGAUGAUCAGCCACACUGGAACUGCGACACGGUCCAGACUCCUACGGGAGGCAGCAGUGGGGAAUAUUGGACAAUGGGCGCAAGCCUGAUCCAGCCAUACCGCGUGGGUGAAGAAGGCCUUCGGGUUGUAAAGCCCUUUUGUUGGGAAAGAAAAGCAGCAGGUUAAUACCCCGCUGUUCUGACGGUACCCAAAGAAUAAGCACCGGCUAACUUCGUG